Molecule: ribosomal RNA, 761 nt
Filed under: Prevotella melaninogenica
Lineage: Bacteria; Pseudomonadati; Bacteroidota; Bacteroidia; Bacteroidales; Prevotellaceae
Description: bacterial SSU rRNA
Rfam family: Bacterial small subunit ribosomal RNA
Source: RNAcentral
GAUGAACGCUAGCUACAGGCUUAACACAUGCAAGUCGAGGGGAAACGGCAUUGAGUGCUUGCACUCUUUGGACGUCGACCGGCGCACGGGUGAGUAACGCGUAUCCAACCUUCCCAUUACUGUGGGAUAACCUGCCGAAAGGCAGACUAAUACCGCAUAGUCUUCGAUGACGGCAUCAGAUUUGAAGUAAAGAUUUAUCGGUAAUGGAUGGGGAUGCGUCUGAUUAGCUUGUUGGUGGGGUAACGGCCCACCAAGGCAACGAUCAGUAGGGGUUCUGAGAGGAAGGUCCCCCACAUUGGAACUGAGACACGGUCCAAACUCCUACGGGAGGCAGCAGUGAGGAAUAUUGGUCAAUGGACGGAAGUCUGAACCAGCCAAGUAGCGUGCAGGAUGACGGCCCUAUGGGUUGUAAACUGCUUUUGUAUGGGGAUAAAGUUAGGGACGUGUCCCUAUUUGCAGGUACCAUACGAAUAAGGACCGGCUAAUUCCGUGCCAGCAGCCGCGGUAAUACGGAAGGUCCAGGCGUUAUCCGGAUUUAUUGGGUUUAAAGGGAGCGUAGGCUGGAGAUUAAGUGUGUUGUGAAAUGUAGACGCUCAACGUCUGAAUUGCAGCGCAUACUGGUUUCCUUGAGUACGCACAACGUUGGCGGAAUUCGUCGUGUAGCGGUGAAAUGCUUAGAUAUGACGAAGAACUCCGAUUGCGAAGGCAGCUGACGGGAGCGCAACUGACGCUUAAGCUCGAAGGUGCGGGUAUCAAACAGG